AAGAUGCGGGCUGGCUCCUUCUCUGCAGCACUAGACAUACGAAAGAGCGGAAACGAUGGGAGCUUGCUCCCACGGCGUCGAGCGGCGGACGGGUGAGUAACACGUGGGAAUCUGCCCAUUAGUGGGGGAUAACUCGGGGAAACUCGAGCUAAUACCGCAUAAUCCCUACGGGGGAAAGCAGGGGAUCUUCGGACCUUGCGCUGAUGGAUGAGCCCGCGUCGGAUUAGCUUGUUGGUGGGGUAAUGGCCCACCAAGGCGACGAUCCGUAACUGGUCUGAGAGGAUGGCCAGUCCACCGGGACUGAACCGGCCCGGACUCCUACGGGAGGAUGGGGAAUCUUGAAAUGGGCAUCUUGUUUUUUGGGGGGAAGACCGCCCCGUUGAAUUUCAAGGAAAGUUGG
RNAcentral lists this ribosomal RNA (400 nucleotides) under Alcanivorax sp. VKRKCd10. RNAcentral's name for it is "bacterial SSU rRNA". The stretch from base 43 to 330 matches the Rfam family "Bacterial small subunit ribosomal RNA", at positions 59 to 350 of the family's 1533-position model. Lineage: Bacteria; Pseudomonadati; Pseudomonadota; Gammaproteobacteria; Oceanospirillales; Alcanivoracaceae. The record is from RNAcentral.